Mytilus trossulus (common blue mussel) is the source of this 317-nucleotide long non-coding RNA. RefSeq lists it as uncharacterized. Lineage: Eukaryota; Metazoa; Mollusca; Bivalvia; Mytilida; Mytilidae. The record is from RefSeq and is a predicted model, not a curated record. The transcript is spliced from 5 exons.
AGAAAGUUUGAGACAAUCAAAGAAAGAAAAAAAAAAGAAGAAGAACAGAAGUCCUCAGAAAAUGUAGAUGAGAGCGGAAAUGUAAGACAAUCGAAGAGCAGAAAAAAAGAACAAGAACAGGUGAAGUUGACUAUCAAGUUAAACAUGUUAAAUACUUUAACCGAGACUCUUGUCGAUAAAGAAUCAACCAAAAAGGCUGUAUGCCGAAAAAUGAAAGUGAUAUCUGCCCCAAAAAAGGGUGACAUUGAAAAAACUAAGGUGACAAGAGCUAACCACAUUCAACAUCUUGGUAAUGGGACCAGAGAUUACCAAAUUAA